GACGAACGCUGGCGGCGUGCUUAACACAUGCAAGUGGAGCGACGAACCAGGCUUCGGCCUGGGGCAAAGCCGCGAACGGGUGAGUAUCACGUGGGUAACGUGCCCCGAUGACCGGGACAACCCGAGGAAACUCGGGCUAAUACCGGAUGUGCUGUGCGGCCGUAAGGCCACACAACAAAGGAAGCUUCGGCCUCCGCAUUGGGAGCGGCCCGCGGCCCAUUAGCUUGUUGGUGAGGUAACGGCUCACCAAGGCUGCGAUGGGUAGCUGGUCUGAGAGGACGAUCAGCCACACUGGGACUGAGACACGGCCCAGACUCCUACGGGAGGCAGCAGUGGGGAAUCUUGCGCAAUGCGCGAAAGCGUGACGCAGCAACGCCGCGUGGGGGAAGAAGGCCUUCGGGUUGUAAACCCCUUUCAGGAGGGACGAAGGUUCAGGCGCGAAUAGCGUCCUGGACUGACGGUACCUCCAGAAGAAGCCCCGGCUAACUACGUGCCAGCCGCCGCCGUAACAC
Molecule: ribosomal RNA, 512 nt
Filed under: uncultured bacterium
Lineage: Bacteria
Description: bacterial SSU rRNA
Rfam family: Bacterial small subunit ribosomal RNA
Source: RNAcentral